Molecule: RNA transcript, 1016 nt
Organism: Liolophura sinensis
Lineage: Eukaryota; Metazoa; Mollusca; Polyplacophora; Chitonida; Chitonidae
Gene name: probable splicing factor, arginine/serine-rich 6
Exons: 6
Source: RefSeq, a predicted model, not a curated record
CACAUCUACCGGAAUCGCACGAACGUUCACGGGCUUUUGCGAUUGAAUGAAUCUGUGAUUUGUAGAAGAAAGAAGGUUCCUGGCGAAGUAGGCGUGGAUUUUAUAUCUGGUAACUAUGUCCAGUCGUGAUGGAUCCGAGCGUAAAUUGGAUUGUAAGGUAUAUGUAGGCGAUCUUGGGUACGGGGCAGCCAAACAAGAGUUGGAGGACAUCUUUGUACGCUAUGGUGCUUUAAAGAAUGUUUGGGUUGCACGCAACCCACCUGGUUUUGCUUUUGUUGAGUAUGAAGAUCCCAGGGAUGCGGAAGAUGCUUGCAAAGCUCUAGAUGGGUCGAAAAUGAACGGGAGACGUGUUAGAGUAGAGCUGUCAACUGGAAAGUCUCGCUGGGGUAGUAGAGGCCCUCCUGUACGCAGAAAUCGUGGGGGUGGAUAUGGUGGGGGUAGCAGCUAUGGUGGCUAUGGAGGCAGUCGGCGAGGUAGAUCCAGGGUCUCACUCAACUCUGUCAUCUGACAGACAGCGCCAUCUGCCAACAACACUUAAAUACCUUCGCCAACUUGGCCCCAACAUCAUCUAAACCUACAUCCAACUGCCAGCUGGCUGGCAUCGUCACUGGCUCGCAUCACCAUGCCCACGACCUUUGACACUGCGAUCCGCCCUGCACGGCUCAUAAGCCCCUCGCGAGGCGGUUCACCUCUGACCCCAUCUCCUCAGCUUUUGCUGGAGUCGCCAUUCCCCCGACUGACAUCCGUUUAUUACCACCUUCAAUAUCACCAACUGGAAAUACAUCCGAGUUGUGGACUAUACACAUGUAUAGUCCCUUCUCCGACAAAACAUCUCAGCCCUUCGUAAUCCCCAAUUAUUCUACUCUCUUCGGGUAACUGGCAUCAGUUUAAUCUUGCAUAACCGGUCUGUAGUUGCAGCGUUUCACAUUGUUUAUGGCAGGUCAAGGUCACCCCCUCCACGACGACGACCCCGAAGUUCCAGUGCCAGCAGAAGCAGAUCGGGUUCGCGUGACAGA